RNAcentral lists this ribosomal RNA (321 nucleotides) under uncultured eukaryote. RNAcentral describes it as "partial 18S ribosomal RNA". It matches the Rfam family "Eukaryotic small subunit ribosomal RNA", at positions 1470 to 1796 of the family's 1831-position model. The record is from RNAcentral.
CCCUUAGAUGUUCUGGGCCGCACGCGUGCUACACUGAGUGGAUCAGCGGGUCAGGUUGCGCGAAAGCGUUUCCUAAUCUUUAAAUCCGCUCGUGAUGGGGAUUGACGGUUGCAAUUUUCUGUCAUGAACGAGGAAUACCUUGUAAGCGCGGGUCAUCAUCCCGCGCUGAAUACGUCCCUGCCCUUUGUACACACCGCCCGUCGCUCCUACCGAUUGAAUGGUCCGGUGAAGCCUCGGGAUUGUGGCCAGUUCACUUUAUUGGGAGUUGGCUGUGAGAACUUGUCUAAACCUUAUCAUUUAGAGGAAGGUGAAGUCGUAACA